This 429-nucleotide ribosomal RNA is filed under the name Bacillota bacterium. RNAcentral's name for it is "Firmicutes bacterium partial 16S ribosomal RNA". It matches the Rfam family "Bacterial small subunit ribosomal RNA", at positions 355 to 776 of the family's 1533-position model. RNAcentral also lists the same sequence under 2 other names. Lineage: Bacteria; Bacillati; Bacillota. The record is from RNAcentral.
UAGGGAAUCUUCCGCAAUGGACGAAAGUCUGACGGAGCAACGCCGCGUGAGUGAUGAAGGUUUUCGGAUCGUAAAACUCUGUUGUCAGGGAAGAACAAGUACGAUAGUAACUGAUCGUACCUUGACGGUACCUGACCAGAAAGCCACGGCUAACUACGUGCCAGCAGCCGCGGUAAUACGUAGGUGGCAAGCGUUGUCCGGAAUUAUUGGGCGUAAAGCGCUCGCAGGCGGUUCUUUAAGUCUGAUGUGAAAUCUUGCGGCUCAACCGCAAACGUGCAUUGGAAACUGGAGGACUUGAGUGCAGAAGAGGAGAGUGGAAUUCCACGUGUAGCGGUGAAAUGCGUAGAGAUGUGGAGGAACACCAGUGGCGAAGGCGACUCUCUGGUCUGUAACUGACGCUGAGGAGCGAAAGCGUGGGGAGCGAACAGG